ACUGCUCAGUAACACGUGGACAACCUGCCCUUAGGUUGGGUAUAAACCCGGGAAACAGGGUAUAAUACCCGAUAGGUCUCGAUUGCUGGAAUGCAUCGAGAUUUAAAGCUCCGGCGCCUAAGGAUGGGUCUGCGGCCUAUCAGGUAGUAGUGGGUGUAGCGUACCUACUAGCCUACGACGGGUACGGGUUGUGAGAGCAAGAGCCCGGAGAUGGAUUCUGAGACACGAAUCCAGGCCCUACGGGGUGCAGCAGGCGCGAAAACUUUACAAUGCUGGCAACAGCGAUAAGGGAACCUCGAGUGCCAGGUUACAAAUCUGGCUGUCGAGAUGCCUAAAAAGCAUUUCAUAGCAAGGGCCGGGCAAGACCGGUGCCAGCCGCCGCGGUAACACCGGCGGCUCGAGUGGUAACCGUUAUUAUUGGGUCUAAAGGGUCUGUAGCCGGCCGGAUAAGUCUCUUGAGAAAUCUGGCAGCUUAACUGUCAGGCUUUCAGGAGAUACUGUCUGGCUCGAGGCCGGGAGAGGUGAGAGGUACUUCAGGGGUAGGGGUGAAAUCUUGUAAUCCUUGAAGGACCACCAGUGGCGAAGGCGUCUCACCAGAACGGACCUGACGGCAAGGGACGAAAGCUAGGGGCACGAACCGGAUUAGAUACCCGGGUAGUCCUAGCCGUAAACGAUACUCGCUAGGUGUCGGCCACGGUGCGACCGUUGUCGGUGCCGUAGGGAAGCCGUGAAGCGAGCCACCUGGGAAGUACGGCCGCAAGGCUGAAACUUAAAGGAAUUGGCGGGGGAGCAC
RNAcentral lists this ribosomal RNA (793 nucleotides) under uncultured archaeon. Its description in RNAcentral is "bacterial SSU rRNA". It matches the Rfam family "Archaeal small subunit ribosomal RNA", at positions 85 to 879 of the family's 1478-position model. The record is from RNAcentral.